This 443-nucleotide ribosomal RNA is filed under the name uncultured bacterium. RNAcentral describes it as "bacterial SSU rRNA". It matches the Rfam family "Bacterial small subunit ribosomal RNA", at positions 355 to 819 of the family's 1533-position model. The record is from RNAcentral.
ACGAGAAUAUUCCGCAAUGGACGAAAGUCUGACGGAGCGACGCCGCGUGAUCGAUGAAGUGCUUCGGUACGUAAAGAUCUUUUAUCGGGGACGAAGUUUAUUGACGGUACCCGAUGAAUAAGGAGCUCCUAACUCUGUGCCAGCAGGAGCGGUAAUACAGAGGCUCCAAGCAUUACCCGGAAUCAUUGGGCGUAAAGGGUGUCUAGGCGGCCAUAUUAGUCUCUCGUUAAAUCCGUGGGCUUAACCUACGGUCUGCGAGGGAAACGGUAUGGCUCGAGGGCGUGAGAGGUGCAUGGAACUCAUGGUGGAGGGGUGAAAUCCGUUGAUAUCAUGGGGAACACCAAAGGCGAAGGCAGCGCACUGGCCAAAAUCUGACGCUCACACACGAAAGCUAGGGUAGCGAAGAGGAUUAGAUACCCAAGUAGUCCCAGCGGGCUGGCAAG